UAGAGUUGGGCUUAUACCCAGCUAGACUCUGUCCCAGAACAAGAGUUUUUGGGAUUCAGAGUUACCUCUCAACUGCCAAGUUUUCUAGUUGUUGGCUCAUACUAUUGGGCACAUUGUGGUUGCUUUUAAUAAAGAUCUAUUAAAUUAAGAAAUGGAUUUGCUUAUUUUACAGUGCUAUUUUGUCCCUGCUGACUUAUGCAGUAAUUACAAAUGUUGUAUUAAGUUAACUUAGGGUGUGUAUAAGCCUCCUUCUGAGAAACUCCCAUGUUUACCUGAAGCCCAUGACGUAUCUUGAGUUCCCUUGUGGUGCAGCAGGUUAAGGAUCCGGCAUUGUCACUGCAGCAGCUCCGGUCACUGUCACUGCUGCAGCUCGGGUCACUGCUGUAGAGCCUGUUUGAUCCCUAGCGGGGGAACUUCCACGUGCCUCGGGUGUAGCCAAAAAAAAAAAAAACCAACAAAAAACCCCAAACCAUUUUGAUUCCAGCCACUUUUGUGGGAACUGGGAAGUGGAAGAUCCUAAAUGCAACAAACCAGGGCCUGUGUUUCUGCCUCUGCAGAAAAGUCUCUGCAGAAAUCACAAUAUUAACAAUUUGCAGUGGCUACAGGGUUCUGAUGGAGUCUUAAUACUUGGAGUUGGAGACAGCUGUGCUGAUGACCUCCCUGUUGGCAGAGUUCCUAUAUAACGGUGCUGAACACAAAUGCAAAAUCUAACACAAAAUCCUUAAAAACUGAGCAAGAUGAUAAUAGAAGCAGAGCAGGAAAUUUUUGUGUUCAGUUGUUUGUUUUGGCCUGUUUUCUCUUAAGUAAAUUGGGCUGAUUUUUUUUUUUUUUUCUCUUAAAGACCCAGUCAUAUUGAUAGGCUCAUUAACUGUUCUUGUAAAUCUUUCUUUUUAAUCAGUAUUUAAGACUAGAACAUGGGUGAUUUUUAGAGGCAUUUCUUAGGUCUUUUAAUCGCUGGAGUAGAAGGAAUAUUUUUCUUGGGUGCACACCGUGCUCUGGGUAGCAAAUGGGUCUUCUGUGUGCUUGCUCUGGUGGGCAUGAAGGAUUGCCACCACAGCCUGACAUGUUCCCUGUUGCAGAAAGGAAGUCAGGCCAGGAUCUUAGUAAAAUCUUGAUGUCAACUGAUAUAGGAGUUGGUUAAAACUAAGGAACAACUGUUUUAUAACUACUCGUUUCUCAGAUAAUCUUUGUCAACAGUAUGUUCACAAGGGAGACGUAUUGUACACAUGAUAACAAAUGCUGCUCAUGCUGUUUUUGCUGCUUUCAAAGGGUAGUUGAAGAUGUCUUUAAAAACAGAAUCUCUAUGUUGACUUGCACUAAGAGCCUAGAGGGGAGAAAUGGAUUUUGACUUCACUCUGGCACUUGAUGCUUAACGGCUGAAGAGAUUAAAACAAGGGCAGCUUCCAAAAUGUCUGGCUUUGGCUCCUCUUUGUACUGAAAUAACGAUUUUUUUCUAAUCUCAUUGUUUCUAUGCUUAGAUAUAUUCCCUGUGGUCCCUUCGUAAAUGCUUAAAACACUUAUCAGGCUAAGUUUUUUCAGUUGUCUCUCCUAGUUCAUCUAAUAAUGACAUCUUUUUCUUUUUUUAAUUUUUUUUUUUUUGCUUUUUAGGGCUGCACCUGCAGCAUAUGGAAUUCCCAGACUAUGGGUCUAACCAGAGCUGCCUCUUAUGACCUAUAAUGCAACUUGUGGCAACGCUGGAUCCUUAACCCACUGAGCAAGGCCAGGGAUCAAACCCACAUCCUCGUGGAUACUAGUUGGGUUCUUAACCCAAUGAGCCACAAAAGGAAUUCCCUGUCUUUCAUUUUCAUUGUAUAUUCCUAUUUCUUUUUCCCAUUGCCUUGCUUUGGCUCUGGCCUCUGGUAUUGAUUUUUCAGAUAAGCACUGUUUAUUUUGUAUUUGCAUCCCACCCUAACUGAGAAUGCACCCAGGAGCUUGGCCCAUCUGCCCUUCCAUGUGUGGGAAUACUAGUUUAUUGACCUGUGUACUCGUAGACUGCAGUGUUAAGCCCAGAGUAGGCUUUCUGUAAACAUUUAUUGAUUGGCUAAUGUAAAUGUUCAUUAAUUGAAAAAGUUUUACCUUAUAUAAAAAAAAAAUUAAAUGAUUGGCGUUCCCUGGUGGCCUAGUGGGUUAAAGAUCCAGUGUUGUCACUGUAGUGGCUUGGUUCAUUACUGUGGUGUGGGUUUAAUCCCUGGCCCAGGAACUUCCAUAUGCCGAGAAUGUGGCCAGAAAAAUUAAAUGAUUAUUCAUGUUGUACCUAUAUCCAAAGAGACUGUGAGGUUUUUUCCAGAACUACUGAGAGAUGCAGGAUGCCAUGAUGGCAGUGGAAGAAACAGGCUCACUCUGCCUCCUCCCUCUGCUGACUCUUACUGACAGUAUACUUACCUAUAGUAGCAUCCUUCACUCUCCUGCAACCCUGUCUGUGGCCUAGAAAUCAUGUUACCGAGGGCAUUCAUACUGUUUCUAAAACAAGAGUCAGUAGGCUUGGCGGGAAUGGGUGAGGCGAGAGUUCUCUUAGAAGUAAGCUGGCUUAUGGCUUCUUUUGUCUUCUUGCAUGCCAUGUUGGUGUUUGCAUUUUAUUUUAUUUUAUUUUAUUUUAUUUUUUUGCUGUUUUUUAGGGCCUCCAUGGCACAUGGAGGUUCUCAGGCUAGGGGGUGAAUCAGAGCUUUAGCUGCCACCCUAUACUACAGCCACAGCAAUGUGGGAUCCGAGCUGCAUCUGCGACUUACACCACAGCUCACAGCAGUGCUGGAUCCUUAACCCACUGAGUGAGGCCAGGGAUGGAACCCGCAACUUCAUGCUUACUAGUCGGAUUAUUUUCUGCUGCUCCACAACGGAAACUCUGGUGUUUGCAUUUUAUAUUUCCAGCCAAGGAGCAAAGUGGAUGUUGGACCAGAUGUUAAUCAUCAACAUCCCAAUAAUUUCGUUAAUUUUUACAGAACUUUUAAAGCUGCAUAAGUGUGAAUAUAGUCUUUUUUUAAACUCAGUGAAUUUUAUUAUAUUUAUAAUUGUACAAAUAUCAUCACAACCUAAUUUUACAACAUUUCCAUCCCAAUCCCCAGCCCAUUCCCCGUGCCUCUCCUUUGGUAACCAUAAGUUUUUCAAAGUCUGAGUCAGUUUCUGUUCUGCAAAGAAGUUCAUUGUAUCCUUUUUUUAGAUCCCACAUAGAAGUGAUAGCAUAUGAUGUUUGUCUCUCACUGUCUUGACUAAUUUCACUUAGCAUGAUAAUUUCUAUGUCCAUCCAUGUUGCUGCAAAUGCCAUUAUUUCUUUCGUUUUUAUGGCCGAGUAAUAGUCCAUUGCAUAUAUGUACCACAUCUUCUUUACCCAUUCUGCUGUCGAUGGACAUUUAGGUUGUUUCCACGUCUUGGCUAUUGUAAAUAGUGCUGCAAUGACCAUUGGAGUACAUGUAUCUUUUCCAGUCAUAGUUUUCUCUGGAUAGGUGCUCAGGAGUGGGAUUGCUGGAUCAUAUGGGAAUAUAAUCUUAACAUGGUAAUUAAAUUUCUCUCCUUUGCUUAAUAGGUUUAAAUUAAAUCUGAGAUUUUUCUCAGGCUCAAAAUUCCAAAACAGGCCUGCUCUGCCAGGAUGGUGGGCCCUGGCUCAACGUUACCUCUGGCCCUAAAGGUCUACUGGUUGCCUUCUCGUCAAUCUGUGGGUGAACAGAUUUCAGAUUAGGAGUCUGCUGCUCGUGACCAGUGCUGAAGCCCUUCCCAUCCAUUCUUAGAUAUCUUUUAUACUAGAGGAUACAAGAGUACAGGUGUCCAUUUAGAGUGUGGUACCUAAAGAAUUUGACUUCAGAAUAUCCUUGGACCCCAGUUGCAAAGCCAUGUAUAAAUUAUUUACACCCAGUGUCCCAGACACUUUACCUGCCAGAUAGGACUCAGAGGGGGCCUCUGCCCUCAGGGGAGCUUACAUUCUAGGGUAUGGGCACUUCCAUAUGCCUUGAGGGUGUGAGCUCAGCAUCGUCUGGAUGAUGGACAGACCUGCUGCCAGAGGGGUUUUUGCCCUUUCCUUCCUCUCCCUUUUCAGGGGGCUGCCUGGAGCUGCAAGCAUUGGGAUUCCCAGAUUUGCAGUGGGAAUUCUCUUCCCAAGUAUUAGAGGAUCUACAUGCCCUUCCCAGAAUCGCCUAACAAGUUCUUCAAGUUAUUUUUAGGGCUAGAUCUGUCACUUUUUCCCUGGUCCUUGACUUCAGAGCCCACGUCUGUAGAACAACACUGUGUGUCAUAAUUUGACAGAGCCUCCAUUUUUUGCGUAUGAGGAAAUUGGGUUGUGUGUGCAGCUUGAUUUACAUGACCACUGAGCAAAAGAAAUUAGAAUUCUUUUGGAAUCCUGGAAAUGCCUUAGAACUGUGAGGUAACAUUUCUUCCUGUAUUCCUGUUCCGCUCUGUGGAGUUGGGAACCACUGCCCCCCAAGGAGGCCUUUUCUGUCAUGAUACAAAGAGCAGUUCUCCAGAGACCUCUUUUGGAAAGAGAAGCCACCUUGCCCUGAUGGAUUGUGUGUGAGCAGGAUGGCUAUAACAAAACAUGCUCAAAUGAGGAUUCUGAUUCAGUAAGGUCUGAGAGUCUGGUUUUUUUUUUUUUUUUGCUUCUUAGGGCUGCACUCUUGGCAUAUGGAAGUUUCCAGGCUAGGGGUCGAAUUGGAGCUACAGCUGCCUGGCACAGCCACAGCCACGCCGGAUCCGAGCCAUGUCUGCGACACCACAGCUCACGGAUCCUUGACCCACUGAGCAAGGCCAGGGAUCGAACCCGCAUCCUCAUAGAUCCUAGUCAGGUUCAUUAACCAAUGAGUCAUGAAGGGAGCUCCUGAGAUUCUGCAUUUUUCAACAAACUUCCAGAUGCUGCUGGUGCUGCAGAUCCAGGGACCCCACUUGGAGUAACAAGAGCCCGUCUGUGGUUGUGAUGGUAGUGAGCUCCUAGCUGCUGGGUUUGCGUCUUCAAAGGCUUUCAUCUUCAAAGGUGACCUCACAUACUUGGCAUAUGGAAGCUAUUGAGGAAGCUCAUUGGACAAGAAGGUGGUAUUUCUACAUGGAGAGAUAUUGUCAAGGGCCUGCCAAGGAUGGGAGGGCUGCACCUGCUGCAUAUGGAAAUUCCCAGGCUGGGGAUCGAAUUGGAGCUGUAGCUGCCAGCCUACACCACAGCCACAGCAAAUGCGGGAUCCGAGCGGCGUCUGAGACCUACACCACAGCUUGUUAAUGCUGGAUCCUUAAAUCUCUGAUCAGGGCCAGGGAUCGAACCUGCGUCCUCAUGGAUACUAGGCAGGCUCUUUACCUCUGAGCCACAAUGGGAACUUCCUUGGCAGGACUUUAAGCUUUGAGGUAUAGCUUGAUUUUGGAUGGGAAGCUCCUGGAGGAAUUUUUUUCUUCAAUUACUGCUUCAGAAAAGUUCUUGGUGAAUGCCAGGUGGUCCAAGAGAUCCAUGACUACCAAAGAAAUAGGAAGUCCCCGCACAUUGUCAGUCAGCUGGCAUCCUGCACCUUCUAGACAAAUCAGUCUCCUAUGGAAAGCCAGCCGCUGUGGGAAGCAGGCAAACUCAGCCCUAGAAGAAAUCACAGGAAGUAAUUAAACGGAGAAGGUCAGAGAAAGAGGAAGUGGUUGUGUUGUUUCUGAUGCGAAUAGCAUUGUUGUUCCUGGGAAUCAAGAGGAGAUGUUUAAGUCUUCUGGAAUGUGACUGCUUGGGGAGUUGAUUGUAUUUAAAUUGUAGCCCUUUUAGUUUAUUCUUUCAGACAGCAAUCUAGUUAGGAUAUGAAUUGCUCUUAGGUCUUAUCAGGAAUCCCCACGUGCCUAAGCAGAAGUCUUAAGCAGGGAGUUGCUUAUAGCUUGGCAAAUUGCACUUAAAUGAAAUGAAUGUCAAGACUAUUAGAGGUUAAUUUUAGGUGUCUGGAGUUCUCCCUAAUUCUCCUGAUUAAACACUUUAACAUAAUAGUUUCCUUAAUUGGAAUAAUGAUAGAAUAUUAGCAUGCAUAUUAAACCAUUUACCCAAAUUUGAAUAGGGUUAAAAUGCAAAUUAUCCAUCACUUGUCAGCACUUACUCUUUAGAGAUAAUUCCUGGGGAGAGAUGGAGAAGAGCCUGGAAUAUGAAUCGGAAAAUGGUUUUCUACCUGAGGCAGCCUUGCUGAGAAGGCCAAGAAUAGACCAGAGGACUUGAAGUAAGGGACAGACCCUUUGUUCCCCCCAAAAAGAGGUGGCAAAAAUCCCAGCACCUAUGAGAGCAAAAACUCCCAACAAGAAGGUAGAUGGAAGGAGAAAUCUGAAAGGAGCAGACUAUAGACCUUCUCUGGUUGUCCUUCAUUAGCCUGUCAUAUUUUUCUUUCAGAAGAAGGUGAUGAGACUUAAGCUCCCUCCCCGGCAUUUAGAUACCCCCCACUGAAGUCUUGAACUGAUGCUACCACCCAGCAGUUGCCCAGCAAGUGCCUGGGGACCCAGAAGCACUCCAAGUGUUGUCUGUGAAGCCAGUGUGUAUAUAACAUCACCCCUAUAUGUGUGUUACUCUCUUUCAAUGUAAGGAGUUACGCGUAUAGACUAAUGAAAUGCAACCUCAAUAAAAUACUGCUG
Molecule: long non-coding RNA, 6546 nt
Filed under: Sus scrofa (pig)
Lineage: Eukaryota; Metazoa; Chordata; Mammalia; Artiodactyla; Suidae
Description: lncRNA (ENSSSCG00050039934.1)
Source: RNAcentral